This 571-nucleotide ribosomal RNA is filed under the name uncultured bacterium. Its description in RNAcentral is "bacterial SSU rRNA". It matches the Rfam family "Bacterial small subunit ribosomal RNA", at positions 126 to 684 of the family's 1533-position model. The record is from RNAcentral.
CUGCCCAAGAGACUGGGAUAACACCUGGAAACAGAUGCUAAUACCGGAUAACAACACUAGACGCAUGUCUAGAGUUUGAAAGAUGGUUCUGCUAUCACUCUUGGAUGGACCUGCGGUGCAUUAGCUAGUUGGUAAGGUAACGGCUUACCAAGGCAAUGAUGCAUAGCCGAGUUGAGAGACUGAUCGGCCACAUUGGGACUGAGACACGGCCCAAACUCCUACGGGAGGCAGCAGUAGGGAAUCUUCCACAAUGGACGAAAGUCUGAUGGAGCAACGCCGCGUGAGUGAAGAAGGGUUUCGGCUCGUAAAGCUCUGUUGGUAGUGAAGAAAGAUAGAGGUAGUAACUGGCCUUUAUUUGACGGUAAUUACUUAGAAAGUCACGGCUAACUACGUGCCAGCAGCCGCGGUAAUACGUAGGUGGCAAGCGUUGUCCGGAUUUAUUGGGCGUAAAGCGAGUGCAGGCGGUUCAAUAAGUCUGAUGUGAAAGCCUUCGGCUCAACCGGAGAAUUGCAUCAGAAACUGUUGAACUUGAGUGCAGAAGAGGAGAGUGGAACUCCAUGUGUAGCGGUGG